AGAGUUUUUUCCUGGCUCAGGAUGAACGCUGGCGGCGUGCUUAACACAUGCAAGUCGAACGAAGCACUUUAUUUGAUUUCCUUCGGGACUGAUUAUUUUGUGACUGAGUGGCGGACGGGUGAGUAACGCGUGGGUAACCUGCCUUGUACAGGGGGAUAACAGUUGGAAACGGCUGCUAAUACCGCAUAAGCGCACAGCAUCGCAUGAUGCAGUGUGAAAAACUCCGGUGGUAUAAGAUGGACCCGCGUUGGAUUAGCUAGUUGGUGAGGUAACGGCCCACCAAGGCGACGAUCCAUAGCCGACCUGAGAGGGUGACCGGCCACAUUGGGACUGAGACACGGCCCAAACUCCUACGGGAGGCAGCAGUGGGGAAUAUUGCACAAUGGGCGAAAGCCUGAUGCAGCGACGCCGCGUGAGCGAAGAAGUAUUUCGGUAUGUAAAGCUCUAUCAGCAGGGAAGAUAAUGACGGUACCUGACUAAGAAGCACCGGCUAAAUACGUGCCAGCAGCCGCGGUAAUACGUAUGGUGCAAGCGUUAUCCGGAUUUACUGGGUGUAAAGGGUGCGUAGGUGGUGAGACAAGUCUGAAGUGAAAAUCCGGGGCUUAACCCCGGAACUGCUUUGGAAACUGCCUGACUAGAGUACAGGAGAGGUAAGUGGAAUUCCUAGUGUAGCGGUGAAAUGCGUAGAUAUUAGGAGGAACACCAGUGGCGAAGGCGACUUACUGGACUGCUACUGACACUGAGGCACGAAAGCGUGGGGAGCAAACAGGAUUAGAUACCCUGGUAGUCCACGCCGUAAAC
RNAcentral lists this ribosomal RNA (801 nucleotides) under uncultured bacterium. RNAcentral describes it as "bacterial SSU rRNA". It matches the Rfam family "Bacterial small subunit ribosomal RNA", at positions 8 to 807 of the family's 1533-position model. The record is from RNAcentral.